Molecule: non-coding RNA, 295 nt
Organism: Plectropomus leopardus (leopard coralgrouper)
Lineage: Eukaryota; Metazoa; Chordata; Actinopteri; Perciformes; Serranidae
Source: RefSeq, a predicted model, not a curated record
AGGAGCUAAGGUGCAGAAAGUGAGACCAGGAGGAAACUGAUCUGCCAUAUUUGUCUUCUGCGGACUGAAUGAAAUGCUGGAAACCAGUCCCUGUGUUGGCCUGUAUGGCCUGACCUCAUCCGUUAUGUUUGCAGCUGAAAAAAAGUCUGUCCACUGCAGUGCCCAGUCCUAUCACACAACCACAUCAAACUUUAAAGCGCGCGCACACACACACACACACACACACACACACACACACUCACACUCACACUCACACACACAGAGAGAGAGAGGCGCUGACUCAGAUGGAUGUGUG